This is a long non-coding RNA of Gasterosteus aculeatus (three-spined stickleback), 1299 nucleotides long. The record is from Ensembl. Lineage: Eukaryota; Metazoa; Chordata; Actinopteri; Perciformes; Gasterosteidae.
GAACUGUCCUCUCACCAUCCGUUCAGGGAAGUACACGCAUCUACGACUUAUGCCUCCUUCCAUUCUGAGCUUCAGCUUACACCCCCCUUCAUCCGCCUCUGCUUCCAGACACACGGGCAGACGGCACAGACUGUCCCCCUUUAGAGAGAAGGGGAGUAGGUGACUCAGUAAAAGAGGUGCAGAGGGGUGUAUUGAUGCUCUGCAGCUGUUCUCUUCGUGCAAGAAGUGCAUCAGUGAGGCAGCUGAAGAAUUAGCAAAGGCUAUGACCGGCUAAUUCAGUAAUAAGGGUCAGAUAAUUACCAGAAUUAAAUGCCCAGAUGGAUAAAAACCAGAACAAGGUCACAGACCCAUUCUUUUAAAUACUGGAGUCUUGAUUUAAAGUACCUUCUUGGAUAUACUGCGUAACGAUAGUAAGGCCAGCAAGAGAUAAAAGUAAGAGCUUCCUUAUCCCUGCAAAAUGAGAAGAUAAUUGUGGUUAUAUAUCUUGAUUAAAAAAAUACUGUAGUACUUUUUUGGCCUUAGCAUCACAUUAGCUUCAAAAGUACAAAGUCAAAAACUGAAAAAAAGACUACAAGCGUCUCCUUUAGAUGGUGUUAGACUAGACUCUAAGUUGAACCAGUGGGGAUUAUAUUUUAUUCAACUAAACAUUCAGCACUCAAUCAGCAAUGUUAGAGAUGAUGGAGGACUAAUCCCGGGCACACAGACACACACGUGUGGUAUCAAUCUCCUUCUCCAACUCCAGGCAAGCGUAUAAACAUGAACCAACAUGUCAAACAAUUCAUGGAAAAAAAGAUAGUUAUUUUUGCUCAACAAACCAACAAUAAAUAGAUAGAAGAAAAUGAACCCUGGACCAACCACAGUUGUCCCUUAAAGAGAGAGAGAAAACAAGCUGGCAUCAAUGCAUAAUGAACAGUCUUGCUACUAAAGUGCACAUCUAGGUGUGAGUUCCACUGAUUAGCAUCACGCAACGUCUCGUCGUGUGCAGGUGUUUGCUUUAUCAGAUGACUGUAUACAAGCCCCCAGGUAAAGGAGUACAAAAAACAACAGCCUGUACAAACAGUAAAAUUCAACUUUGAGCUUGAGCUUGAUGUGUCUCCGAGAAAGGAGGGGUGGAGGUUGUCAACCAGGGAUCCAGCGUGGGUGACAAAUAAAGCAGCGAGACCCAGGAACCACCAAGAAACCAAAGUGAGCUGUGGUAGAUUUCACAGCGGGUGACAGGCAGCGUGUGAUUGGGCAAAUGUGGGCACGAGGGGGGGAAGGGACAAGGCAAACCGUCCCAAGUAGGAGAGGCAAGAGGGU